GUCACUUCUCAGCCUGAUAAACUCAAUAGUGAAGCCUCGGUAGGCUGUCUAAGAGAGAAAUGUGAAAAGAUCAGGGUGGGGAUGACAAGACCAGAUGUUUUAACCCCAGGAUAAAUGAUAUCACUGAGAAAUCCCAUGGCAUCUGAUAAAGGAUUGAAAGGGGGGGUCAAAUGCCCCCAAAUUUGGUAUAAAUAAUAGAGCAAAUGAACAGACAUUCAGCCAGCUGAUAAUGAUGCCCUCAUGCUUAGAGCCUGACUAGGACGUGGACUGACAUCCCAACACUUUUCAUCAUUUGCUGAUCCUCUGCAUUUUCCUCACCGCUCUCAAACUCUACAGCCACAUCUUGACCCUGGUGAGAGCUGCAACUUCUUCCUACUCUCUCUUCUCUGGAGGCUGUCAGCUCCACCCCAGAAGAAGCCUACCUAAAUUCCUGAUCUGAUCACCAUCGUCUAAGUGAGUGUGUGUCUUCUGGGCUUAAAGCCUAAGGCUUAAGACUUUUGAUCUGACACUUGAACUUAGCAUGCAGAGGGAAAGUCUGUCAUUAGCCUGUCAUGAUUGUGUUUGCAGUGCUUAAAAUUAAUUAAUCUAGAAUUGUUUGCUGUGAAUUAAUUAAUCUAGAAUUGUUUGUUAUGAAUUGAUUAUGUCUGUUGCAGUGCCUAGCAUUAAGGAUUGUCGUUUUCUUGAUUAAGAACCUAUAGAGUGAAAUUGUAUUGAGUGAUUUUGAGUGAAGAAAGCAUUGAAAAGGGCAGAAGCGCAGGAACAUUCUGUAUUUUCCCCCCUGGACUGCAUAAGUUGCACCUUUUGCCCAUUGAGACAGCCACUGAGCCAGAACCCCAGCCCCUUUUUAGUAAUUUUUGAUUUUGUCACUUACACUUGUUUUUCUCUGCAUUUCCAGUUUUGUCCUUUCUUGGAGGAGAGUUGGUUUGGGUUGUUGUUUUUCUUAUCACUUCUACAUACAUGUGUGUCCCCAUUAAGAAAUGUAUUUCUUGGGGCUGGGGUUGUGGCUCAGUGGUAGAGCACUUGCCUAGCAUACAUGAUGCACUUGGUUCAAUCCUUGGCACCACAUUAAAAAAAAAAACAAAACAAAAAAACUAAAUAAACAAAAUAAAGAUAUUGUGUCCAUCGAGAACUAAAAAAAAUUUUUUUUAAAAAAGAAAUCUAUUUUUAAGAGUUUUUUAAAUUAUAUUUUUUAUUUUUUAUAUUUUGCCUUCAUUUAAAAAAAUAUGAUGUAAAGAGCAGUGCUAUCAAAUUCUCCAGAGAAAAUUUGUCUUGAGUUCCAAGUCUUUAUUGUAAGUGUCUUCUAUGGUAUACAAAGGAAAAUAAAAGUGAAAUAUAAUUACAAAGUAAAAAGACAGGUGAAAUAUAAUAUGGCUGUUCUCUUUCAGUCAGUUUUGUGACUGUUACUUCUUAAUCUAUGAAUUUGGACUGUGGUAGCUCAUGUUUUGCUUUGUGAACAUGUAUUAUGAUUUCUGCACUUUCCUACAUGUACUUAAAUAUACAGGUUUCUGAAAAAUUCCUUGGAAGAUUUUAAAAAAACACCUCCUCUUAGCACAAAACUACUGUAAUAAACAGCUGAUUGCCUCAGAAGCCAUUACAAGUUUUACUGUUUACAACCUGUCCUUUAGUGUAGACAUCAAGUAAACUCAGUGCUGUUUAGUAGUAUUAAAGAAAAUAUUGAAUGCUCUCCUCAUAAUAACACUGGAGAUUUUUCAAAGUGAGUUGGUAUUAGGGAGCUUUUGGUGAUCUUGACUGGGAGUGAGAUGAUGAAAAUGGGUGUUUUCUAAAUUUCUUAGAAAUGGCUAGCCAAAUGGUUAGUAGAAAGAAGAGACCAGAGGCAGAGAUACACAAUGUGAAAUGAUGGAAUGCCUGAAUUAGACUCAAAGUCAAAAUUACUACCAGAGAAGCCAGGCCUAUGUGUGGGGGAGCAGUCGCAGAAGAUUGGUGUGGCUCUGCAGAGGAAUGUUGGAAGGUGGUAGUCCAGGAGGCCCUCUCUGCUUUGCUUGCCUUUUUUUCCUUCUGUGAGAUUUUAUGUGCAUAGGAUUGGUAUUUGGCAGAGAGAGAGAGAGAAGUAGGAGAGAAGCAGUGUAAGUGGAAAGGUAAAACUGGAACAGGAGGAGAAAAUAAGAGAGACAAAAACCUACCAAGUAAUAACAGCUAUAUAAUAUAUAUGAUGCUUUAUGGUGUAAUGAAAGAUAUAAAACUUGAAGUCUGACCACCAGUAGUUCAAAUCUAGAAAGUCUAUUUCCUAAUUUUCUGACUUUAAACAAAUUACUUAAUUUUUCCAAACUUCACUUUUUUUUUUCUAAAUCUGUGAACAUAGAUGUGAUUUUCUAUAAAUAAAUGGUUCAAUUAAUACCAGAUUUAUUGUGUGGAACUUGAAUUACUUAUAGUUUGCUAUCACAUUCU
This 2406-nucleotide long non-coding RNA is filed under the name Marmota monax (woodchuck). Lineage: Eukaryota; Metazoa; Chordata; Mammalia; Rodentia; Sciuridae. The record is from RNAcentral.